RNAcentral lists this long non-coding RNA (276 nucleotides) under Lathyrus oleraceus (garden pea). Its description in RNAcentral is "Pisum sativum (pea) long non-coding RNA (PSAT_LNC031513)". Lineage: Eukaryota; Viridiplantae; Streptophyta; Magnoliopsida; Fabales; Fabaceae. The record is from RNAcentral.
UUAAGUUUUAAAGCAUUUCACUUCCAAACAACCACCCAGAAUCCAUCUAUGAACUUCACUCAAACUUUCCUAAGUCCUAACUCACCUUCCCUGAGCCUCACCUGAGCUGAGCUAAGUCAUCGGAACACCACUCCGAGAUCGAUUCCAAUCAGGUAGUUCCACUCACCCUCAUCACUCAAAUGAGUUACCAUUCGACUCGAAAUUCCUCCCUGAUCAUUAACCCCGUACUUUUAACUUUGAUUAACCAAUAUUCACCAUUUAAUUUUAGAUUAGGUC